RNAcentral lists this ribosomal RNA (497 nucleotides) under uncultured bacterium. RNAcentral describes it as "partial 16S ribosomal RNA". It matches the Rfam family "Bacterial small subunit ribosomal RNA", at positions 28 to 507 of the family's 1533-position model. The record is from RNAcentral.
GAUGAACGCUGGCGGCGUGCCUAAUACAUGCAAGUCGAGCGAACGGACGAGAAGCUUGCUUCUCUGAUGCUAGCGGCGGACGGGUGAGUAACACGUGGAUAACCUACCUAUAAGACUGGGAUAACUUCGGGAAACCGUAGCUAAUACCGGAUAAUAUUUUGAACCGCAUGGUUCAAAAGUGAAAGACGGUCUUGCUGUCACUUAUAGAUGGAUCCGCGCUGCAUUAGCUAGUUGGUAAGGUAACGGCUUACCAAGGCAACGAUGCAUAGCCGACCUGAGAGGGUGAUCGGCCACACUGGAACUGGGACACGGUCCAGACUCCUACGGGAGGCAGCAGUAGGGAAUCUUCCGCAAUGGGCGAAAGCCUGACGGAGCAACGCCGCGUGAGUGAUGAAGGUCUUCGGAUCGUAAAACUCUGUUAUUAGGGAAGAACAUAUGUGUAAGUAACUGUGCACAUCUUGACGGUACCUAAUCAGAAAGCCACGGCUAACUACGUG